UGUGCCCAACCAAGUUGCUCCCAGAAGACGAAAAUCAAGAUUUUCAUGGAGGACCCUGAGUUUCAUAUUGAGAUUACGAACCCGUUAGCAGUAACUAUAUGUAUUAGCUACAUCUACCCUAUGUGUGGGCCGCAUCUUCAAGAUCAAUGCGUGCAGGAUAUAUUAAUUUUAACUUGGUGUCUGCGCUGCGCCGCAUCUAUCUAUAUAGUGCAAGAUAUUUAUAAGCUUGGUUCAGGUUGUGUCUGAGAAAGAGUGGCAAUCUGUCACAGAUGAUGCCGUUCGUCUUAUGUAUGCAUAUGAACUGGAAAACUUUAUCUGCGGUGGUGACUAUUUCACAAUGCUUCUUCGAUCAUCUGCGGAAUUUACCUCUUUUGGGGUCCUGGUCUUCUAACCCUGCAUGCACGUUGCACGUUACUGUCUGAAAUAGAUCUAAG
Molecule: long non-coding RNA, 434 nt
Filed under: Triticum aestivum (bread wheat)
Lineage: Eukaryota; Viridiplantae; Streptophyta; Magnoliopsida; Poales; Poaceae
Description: long non-coding RNA (TAES_LNC025022)
Source: RNAcentral